Molecule: long non-coding RNA, 2108 nt
Filed under: Mus musculus (house mouse)
Lineage: Eukaryota; Metazoa; Chordata; Mammalia; Rodentia; Muridae
Description: long non-coding RNA chr16:49887317-49889425
Source: RNAcentral
GGUUCUUCAUCUAUACUGUGACAAUAUAAGUUCUUUCCUACAUUUUGAUAGCUGAUAGGUGCUUUCAAGUACUGCAUUGUACUGUAGCUCUUUCAGGCUUAAGGCCCAGCUCUACAUAAAACACUGGCUGUCCAUUCUUUGUUUUCUUUUCUUUUAACCCUUGUCCUAUAUUGAUAGAUGAUCUUUAGUAUGCACUCAGCAGCAUGGCCAUGAACCUGACUGUGAAAGCCGAGCUCUGCAAACAGUCUUGAUAAUAGAUAGGAAAAUUACCAUCAUACAGUGGCCUUCAAAACAUGUUAUCAAAAAAAGCCGCAUUGGUGGUAUGGUCCUGUGAUCUUAGCAUUACAGAACAAACACCAGAGCGACAUAGUAAGAGCCUGUACAAAAAUUAAAAAUACAGAAAAAAAAAACAAAAAAACAAACAAACAAAAAAACCCCAAAAACCAAAAACCAAACAAACCAAACAAACAAAAAACCCAAACCUUUGAAAAUAUUAAAACUUCCCUACUAUAGCUGUAUUAGAAAACAAAAAUAAUACUAAUGUUGAAAGUAUUACAUGGCAGAUCAGACUGCUAAAACGUCAGUAUUUUAAAUGUCAUGUUAAAUAUAGCUUGAUGCUUUUUGUCUUGCUCUGUGGCUUUGGAAACAGAGCAGACAUCCCCUGGUAAACUGUCAGGCUCCCUUCUUAGUUCCUAUUAGCCUGCAGCUGGCAGCUUUAUACUCUGUUUCAGGGUUCAGAAUUCUGUGAUGUGGUUUUUUUUAUUUGAUGUUUUUGUUGUUGGAGUUUGCUAUUGUUUGUUUUUUUGUUUGUUUUGCCAUUUGUUUUCCAGAGUCACAUCCUCAGGGACAUUCCCAUUGUCACAUGAUCCUUAACUUCACUCGUGUUAGUGAGUUCACCAUCCUCGAGCUGCCCAGGCUGCAUCUGGAGUGGUGCUCCGUGGUGGCAGUGUCAGCAUCCCCAUAGCAGCUCUCCUGUAACUCUGCUUAUGGUCUAUUGCAAUGUCACACGCAGUGCUCACACUUGUCAUUUCCUGGCUCGUUCACCCCUCUUGCCCAGUUUCCUUUUUUGAUGAUACAUUGAGUGCCUGUGGGCUGAUCACUGGGAGACGAGGGGAGAUAUCAUAACCAGGCGCUUGGCUGUCUGCCCAAACUUAGCAUAACCAUGCAGUGGCUGGUCUUCAGUAGUUGUGACAUGAUGACACUUCUUCUAUUUAUUUCAUAUUGUGAGUUGUGUAUUAAAGACGUCUCAUGGAGCAUACUUCAUGACUACUCUCUGGUUGCACUUUGGUAAUGAAACUUCAAACUGUAUUUGAAGGACUAGAGUUACACAAGUUAACCAUGGGACCCAUGCAUGCCAGAAGAGUGUAACAUGAGAGCUACUGGGAUUUACUUCUGUGUAUUCUAGACACCAUUCAUUUACUUUUUCUUCUUGUGCCCACUCAAAAUUGCCCCACGAGGAAUUUGGUUAUCUCUUGGUGCUAUUUGGGAAAAUGUCACUAUGAUCAUUGUUGGGAAAUUUGAGAAAAUCAAUUUUCCAUCAUAAGAGCCUUGAGGACUCAUGUAAGUCCUCAAAGCCUAGAUUAUUGAAAGUAACAAGACCUUUCUUUGAAAGCACUUGUAAACCAAGUGAUGUUUUUAGGGGUUUUUCUUACUGAACAGGAAAAAUAAUUCGGGAGAAAUGAGGGCAAACACUACAUUGCAGUGGCGAUUUCUAUCCAAACCAGAGAACAAAAGUAUUCUGACAAAUAUUAUUACAGAAAGUCAGUCUGUGACCUGGUUGGUGACCCCUAAUGGUAAUGUGAAUUUAUGCUAAGUUUAAUGUGAAUUUUAUUCAACAGUGUUAAGCUUGGCUCUUCCCUGGAGUGCUCAUACGAUCACUAAGCCAUGUCGUUACUCACUGACUUCAUUGUAGGAAGAAUUGGGCCAAACUGUAGCACAGCAUUCUACUCUUACAUAAAUAGAGUCACCAAUUCCUUUACACUUUCAAAAUCUGACAGCACUACUCAUGAAUAUCCUCUGAAAUUCUGAAAACUUUCAUUAGACCAGAAUAAUUUGUCUUUGGGAGAUGUCUGCUGGACAUUCCCUUCUGUUGUGCUCAUAUAUUUGCC